AGUGGGACACGGCCCAGACUCCUACGGGAGGCAGCAGUGGGGAAUAUUGGACAAUGGGGGGAACCUGAUCCAGCCAUGCCGCGUGUGUGAAGAAGGCCUUUUGGUUGUAAAGCACUUUAAGCGAGGAGGAGGCUACCGAGAUUAAUACUCUUGGAUAGUGGACGUUACUCGCAGAAUAAGCACCGUCUAACUCUGUGCCAGCAGCCGCGGUAAUACAGAGGGUGCAAGCGUUAAUCGGAUUUACUGGGCGUAAAGCGCGCGUAGGUGGCCAAUUAAGUCAAAUGUGAAAUCCCCGAGCUUAACUUGGGAAUUGCAUUCGAUACUGGUUGGCUAGAGUAUGGGAGAGGAUGGUAGAAUUCCAGGUGUAGCGGUGAAAUGCGUAGAGAUCUGGAGGAAUACCGAUGGCGAAGGCAGCCAUCUGGCCUAAUUCUGACACUGAGGUGCGAAAGCAUGGGGAGCAAACAGGAUUAGAUACCCUGGUAGUCCAUGCCGUAAACGAUGUCUACUAGCCGUUGGGGCCUUUGAGGCUUUAGUGGCGCAGCUAACGCGAUAAGUAGACCGCCUGGGGAGUACGGUCGCAAGACUAAAACUCAAAUGAAUUGACGGGGGCCCGCACAAGCGGUGGAGCAUGUGGUUUAAUUCGAUGCAACGCGAAGAACCUUACCUGGUCUUGACAUAGUAAGAACUUUCCAGAGAUGGAUUGGUGCCUUCGGGAACUUACAUACAGGUGCUGCAUGGCUGUCGUCAGCUCGUGUCGUGAGAUGUUGGGUUAAGUCCCGCAACGAGCGCAACCCUUUUCCUUAUUUGCCAGCGGGUUA
Molecule: ribosomal RNA, 818 nt
Filed under: Acinetobacter sp.
Lineage: Bacteria; Pseudomonadati; Pseudomonadota; Gammaproteobacteria; Moraxellales; Moraxellaceae
Description: bacterial SSU rRNA
Rfam family: Bacterial small subunit ribosomal RNA
Source: RNAcentral